AUUGAACGCUGGCGGCAGGCCUAACACAUGCAAGUCGAACGGUAACAGAAAGCAGCUUGCUGCUUUGCUGACGAGUGGCGGACGGGUGAGUAAUGUCUGGGAAACUGCCUGAUGGAGGGGGAUAACUACUGGAAACGGUAGCUAAUACCGCAUAACGUCGCAAGACCAAAGAGGGGGACCUUCGGGCCUCUUGCCAUCGGAUGUGCCCAGAUGGGAUUAGCUAGUAGGUGGGGUAAAGGCUCACCUAGGGGACGAUCCCUAGCUGGUCUGAGAGGAUGACCAGCCACACUGGAACUGAGACACGGUCCAGACUCCUACGGGAGGCAGCAGUGGGGAAUAUUGCACAAUGGGCGCAAGCCUGAUGCAGCCAUGCCGCGUGUAUGAAGAAGGCCUUCGGGUUGUAAAGUACUUUCAGCGGGGAGGAAGGGAGUAAAGUUAAUACCUUUGCUCAUUGACGUUACCCGCAGAAGAAGCACCGGCUAACUCCGUG
This 490-nucleotide ribosomal RNA is filed under the name uncultured bacterium. RNAcentral's name for it is "partial 16S ribosomal RNA". It matches the Rfam family "Bacterial small subunit ribosomal RNA", at positions 30 to 507 of the family's 1533-position model. The record is from RNAcentral.